Molecule: ribosomal RNA, 253 nt
Filed under: uncultured bacterium
Lineage: Bacteria
Description: partial 16S ribosomal RNA
Rfam family: Bacterial small subunit ribosomal RNA
Source: RNAcentral
UACGGAGGGUGCGAGCGUUGUCCGGAAUCACUGGGCGUAAAGGGCGCGUAGGUGGCGGCCCAAGUCCAUGGUGAAAGCUCGAUGCUCAACAUCGAGUCGGCCACGGAUACUGGGUUGCUCGAGCACUGUAGGGGCAGAUGGAAUUCCGGGUGUAGCGGUGGAAUGCGUAGAGAUCCGGAAGAACACCGGUGGCGAAGGCGGUCUGCUGGGCAGUUGCUGACACUGAGGCGCGACAGCGUGGGGAGCAAACAGG